RNAcentral lists this non-coding RNA (48 nucleotides) under unclassified sequences. RNAcentral describes it as "DUF3800-XI RNA". It matches the Rfam family "DUF3800-XI RNA". Rfam says of the family: Actinobacteria, Firmicutes, Proteobacteria, Spirochaetes (1 example). Nearby to DUF3800 The record is from Rfam by way of RNAcentral.
AGGGCCGGUCGAAAGACCCAGGUCGAUUUGACGGCGGGGAAGUUCCUC